This is a non-coding RNA of Peromyscus maniculatus bairdii (prairie deer mouse), 502 nucleotides long. NCBI's taxonomy places the organism in Eukaryota, Metazoa, Chordata, Mammalia, Rodentia, Cricetidae. The record is from RefSeq and is a predicted model, not a curated record.
ACACAGAAAUGGCAGGUGGCAGCAGGGGGGUUUUACACAACCAGAACCACAGCUCAGAUGGCCUUAGUAACCACUGCUACCAUCUUCCACCGCCACACAAAAGUGGAAACUCAUGGCUCCUUUUCUGGGUGGUGGGAGCAUCCUGGAUGACAGGAUUUUUAGACAUCCCCACCAAGUCCACUGGCAGAAGAUAACCACCAGAUGGGACCUCAGAGAAAACCCCAACAGCUGACUCAUGAUACCGAAGAACAGUAUUGUUGGUUUUUAACCAACCAUCAUGAAUAUCGCUGGGAUUCAUAGGAACAAUGGCAGAGUCUUGGAAAUCUGGCAACUCAGUAACUAUGGAGGGGCAAAUCUGGAGACUCGCCCUGAAAACCAUUUGGUGACCCAUUUUCUGCACCAACCUCCCCUCUGCCGGAAUACCUACAGCAACCUCUGCCUUCUGACUCACAACCUUGACUAAUGCAAAGGCGUGUCUUCCCUUUGUAGGCUUCUUCACGGC